RNAcentral lists this unclassified non-coding RNA (253 nucleotides) under uncultured Bacteroidota bacterium. RNAcentral describes it as "uncultured Bacteroidetes bacterium contains 16S-23S intergenic spacer region". It matches the Rfam family "Bacterial small subunit ribosomal RNA", at positions 524 to 776 of the family's 1533-position model. The record is from RNAcentral. Lineage: Bacteria; Pseudomonadati; Bacteroidota.
UACGGAGGGUGCAAGCGUUGUCCGGAAUCACUGGGUGUAAAGGAUGUGUAGGCGGGCCUGUAAGUCAGAGGUGAAAGCCCACGGCUCAACCGUGGAAUGGCCUUUGAUACUGCAGGUCUUGAGUCCCGGAGAGGUCGCUGGAAUUCGUGGUGUAGCGGUGAAAUGCGUAGAUAUCACGAGGAACACCAGAGGCGUAGGCGGGCGACUGGACGGGUACUGACGCUGAGGCACGAAAGCGUGGGGAGCGAACAGG